UAAUACGGAGGGUGCAAGCGUUAUCCGGAAUCACUGGGUUUAAAGGGUGCGUAGGCGGCUUGGUAAGUCAGAGGUGAAAGCUUCCCGCUCAACGGGAGAACUGCCUUUGAUACUGCCAGGCUCGAAUUGGGUUGAGGCAGGCGGAAUGUGGCAUGUAGCGGUGAAAUGCUUAGAUAUGCCAUAGAACACCGAUUGCGAAGGCAGCCUGCCAAGCCUUGAUUGACGCUGAGGCACGAAAGCGUGGGGAGCGAACAGGAUUAGAUACCCUGGUAGUCCACGCCCUAAACGAUGUUUACUCGACGUCCGGCCCCUGCGGUCGUGCGUCCAAGCGAAAGCGUUAAGUAAACCACCUGGGGAGUACGUUCGCAAGAAUG
Molecule: ribosomal RNA, 374 nt
Filed under: uncultured bacterium
Lineage: Bacteria
Description: bacterial SSU rRNA
Rfam family: Bacterial small subunit ribosomal RNA
Source: RNAcentral